Molecule: ribosomal RNA, 497 nt
Filed under: uncultured bacterium
Lineage: Bacteria
Description: partial 16S ribosomal RNA
Rfam family: Bacterial small subunit ribosomal RNA
Source: RNAcentral
GACGAACGCUGGCGGCGUGCCUAAUACAUGCAAGUAGAACGCUGAAACUUGGUGCUUGCACCGAGCGGAUGAGUUGCGAACGGGUGAGUAACGCGUAGGUAACCUGCCUGGUAGCGGGGGAUAACUAUUGGAAACGAUAGCUAAUACCGCAUAAGAGUAGAUGUUGCAUGACAUUUGCUUAAAAGGUGCAAUUGCACCACUACCAGAUGGACCUGCGUUUUAUUAGCUAGUUGGUGGGGUAACGGCUCACCAAGGCGACGAUACAUAGCCGACCUGAGAGGGUGAUCGGCCACACUUGGACUGAGACACGGCCCAGACUCCUACGGGAGGCAGCAGUAGGGAAUCUUCGGCAAUGGACGGAAGUCUGACCGAGCAACGCCGCGUGAGUGAAGAAGGUUUUCGGAUCGUAAAGCUCUGUUGUAAGAGAAGAACGAGUGUGAGAGUGGAAAGUUCACACUGUGACGGUAUCUUACCAGAAAGGGACGGCUAACUACGUG